GAUCAACGCUGGCGGCGUGCUUAACACAUGCAAGUCGAACGAAGUUUUUCUUUCGGGAGGAACUUAGUGGCGGACGGGUGAGUAACGCGUGGGUAACCUGCCCUGUACAGGGGGACAACAGCUGGAAACGGCUGCUAAUACCGCAUAAGCCCUUAGCACUGCAUGGUGCAUAGGGAAAAGGAGCAAUCCGGUACAGGAUGGACCCGCGUCUGAUUAGCCAGUUGGCAGGGUAACGGCCUACCAAAGCGACGAUCAGUAGCCGAUCUGAGAGGAUGUACGGCCACAUUGGGACUGAGACACGGCCCAGACUCCUACGGGAGGCAGCAGUGGGGAAUAUUGCACAAUGGAGGAAACUCUGAUGCAGCGACGCCGCGUGAGUGAAGAAGUAUUUCGGUAUGUAAAGCUCUAUCAGCAGGAAAGAAAAUGACGGUACCUGACUAAGAAGCACCGGCUAAAUACGU
Molecule: ribosomal RNA, 461 nt
Filed under: uncultured bacterium
Lineage: Bacteria
Description: partial 16S ribosomal RNA
Rfam family: Bacterial small subunit ribosomal RNA
Source: RNAcentral